RNAcentral lists this ribosomal RNA (756 nucleotides) under uncultured bacterium. RNAcentral describes it as "bacterial SSU rRNA". It matches the Rfam family "Bacterial small subunit ribosomal RNA", at positions 8 to 796 of the family's 1533-position model. The record is from RNAcentral.
AGAGUUUGAUCAUGGCUCAGAAUCAACGCUGGCGGCGCGCUUAACACAUGCAAGUCGAGCGAGAAAGGGGAGCAAUCCCUGAGUAAAGCGGCGUACGGGUGAGUAACACGUGGAUAAUCUACCUUUUAGUGGGGAAUAGCUCUGGGAAACUGGAAUUAAUACCGCAUAAUCCUGUGAGGGGAAAGCAGCAAUGCGCUGAAAGAGGAGUCCGCGGCCGAUUAGCUAGUUGGUAGGGUAAUGGCCUACCAAGGCGAUGAUCGGUAGCCGGCCUGAGAGGGCACACGGCCACACUGGCACUGAAACACGGGCCAGACUCCUACGGGAGGCAGCAGUGGGGAAUCUUGCACAAUGGAGGAAACUCUGAUGCAGCGACGCCGCGUGAGCGAUGAAGCCCCUCGGGGUGUAAAGCUCUUUCGGCAGGGACGAUAAUGACGGUACCUGAAGAAGAAGCUGCGGCUAACUACGUGCCAGCAGCCGCGGUAAUACGUAGGCAGCGAGCGUUGUUCGGAAUUACUGGGCGUAAAGAGUGUGUAGGCGGUGCUAUAAGUUCGGUGUGAAAUCUCCCGGCUCAACUGGGAGGGUGCGCCGAAAACUGUAGUGCUCGAACGUGGGAGAGGAAAGCGGAAUUCCUGGUGUAGCGGUGAAAUGCGUAGAUAUCAGGAGGAACACCUGCGGUGUAGACGGCUUUCUGGACCAUUGUUGACGCUGAGACACGAAAGCGUGGGUAGCAAACAGGAUUAGAUACCCUAGUAGUCC